RNAcentral lists this ribosomal RNA (459 nucleotides) under uncultured bacterium. RNAcentral's name for it is "partial 16S ribosomal RNA". It matches the Rfam family "Bacterial small subunit ribosomal RNA", at positions 338 to 795 of the family's 1533-position model. The record is from RNAcentral.
CCUACGGGUGGCAGCAGUGAGGAAUAUUGGUCAAUGGCCGGAAGGCUGAACCAGCCAAGCCGCGUGAAGGACGAAGGUGCCAAGCAUUGUAAACUUCUUUUGUCAAGGGACAAAAUCAGGCUCGAGAGCCUGACCGAGGGUACUUGAAGAAAAAGCAUCGGCUAACUCCGUGCCAGCAGCCGCGGUAAUACGGAGGAUGCGAGUGUUAUCGGGAUUUAGUGGGGUAAAAGGGGGUGUAGGGGUGCUGUUAAGGCAGCGGUAAAAGCCCGGGGCUCAACCACGGCGAGCCGUUGAAACUGGCUGUCUUGAGAUGUCGAGAGGUAUGCGGAAUGCGCAGUGUAGCGGUGAAAUGCUUAGAUAUUGCGCAGAACUCCGGUUGCGAAGGCAGCAUACCGGCGGCGAUCUGACGCUGAGGCACGAAAGCGUGGGUAUCGAACAGGAUUAGAUACCCCUGUAGUC